GUAGGGAAUAUUGCACAAUGGAGGAAACUCUGAUGCAGCGACGCCGCGUGAGUGAUGAAGGCCUUCGGGUCGUAAAGCUCUGUCGCAGGGGAAUAACACAAUGAAGGUACCCUGUAAGAAAGGAUCGGCUAACUUCGUGCCAGCAGCCGCGGUAAGACGAGGGAUCCUAGCGUUGUUCGGAAUCAUUGGGCGUAAAGCGGAUGUAGGUGGCUAUGUAAGUCAGAUGUGAAAGCCUGGGGCUCAACCCCAGAAGUGCAUUUGAUACUGCGUAGCUUGAGGGUCGGAGAGGUUACUAGGAUUGUUGGUGUAGUGGUGAAAUACGUAGAUAUCAACAGGAAUACCGGAGGCGAAGGCGGGUAACUGGCCGAACACUGACACUGAGAUCCGAAAGCGUGGGGAUCAAACAGGAUUAGAUACCCCGGUAGUCC
RNAcentral lists this ribosomal RNA (428 nucleotides) under uncultured bacterium. Its description in RNAcentral is "bacterial SSU rRNA". It matches the Rfam family "Bacterial small subunit ribosomal RNA", at positions 354 to 796 of the family's 1533-position model. The record is from RNAcentral.